AUGAAUGUUAAAAAUCUGUUUAAAAAGCACAUUCUCGUAUUUUUCCACUUUCAAACAGAUUUUUUAUUAUUCAAAACAAUAACUGAUAGAUCUGCCUUUUCUCUAUUUUCAGCUUCAAGAAUGACCACAGAAAUGAUAAUUCCAAAGAAAAAAGUAAACAGUUCGAUUACCAAUACAAAAAUUAAUAAAUGGGAUAGCAUUAAGCAAUGCCAGAUUUCAGUGGCGAGACAGAUUCAGAAUUUAUACCCUGGUUUGUGCUCUGACCACUAAACAACAUACAGCUUCCAGAAACCACAGACUGCAUUAUAGGUGACACCGGGGUAAGGGUAUAGAGAAAAAUGAGUGCUAUUCUUUGUUUAAAUAUCAUUUUUUUAAUAAGGAGGGAACAGAGUGAAUUUUAUAAAUGCUGGUUUAAAAACCAUUGAUCUUUAAGAAAGGAGAGAAAAAUCAAAUGUAAAAAAACAUGUACUUGUGCUGAACUGUGAAUAAGAAAACCUUCAGUGAAAUGUCUAAAGACGAUAGUGCCUGAAAGGACCUGUAGUAACACGUAAAGCAGGCAGGAUUAUAAAUGCGUAGUUCUUGAAGAACACCAACAUUACACAGACCCUCCUCCUUUGCUGCCUUCCCAGAGGAUAGUGAGCUAAAGCUUACGGAGGCCUAGCCACCAAAGGCAGAGUUUGUCUUUUCAUAUCCCAGGCUAGCAAUUGGUACACAAUCCCUAUCUUAUCACCAUCACUGAGAAUUAUAAAUCUAACUUCUGGGUAGAUUGUCCAGAUUGCUUUCUUCAUCUUUGUAUACCCAGUGGCUUGAGUAUAGCUGGCACUCUGUAGAUUUUGUGGUGUUACAAGAGCACCAGUUAGUGCAAAGAGCAAAAUCCUCUCCUCCUCCUUUCUAUCCAGAAAUUGCUAAAAUGGUAAGUGUCAACAAGAGAAAUAUCCAUAAGCAGGGCAGGACUGUCAUGGACUGAGUCAAUUGGGACUGGUUUCUGUUGAUAGUUUGUGAAUUUCUGUCAUUUGGAGAAUUAGUGUCAGCGGAACUCACAUAAGGGCAUUCUGUAAGGGAAAGAAAGAAAUAGGUUAUGAGUUUGGCCUUCAGUUUUAAUGAUUCUAUACAUGAGAAAAUUAGACUGUCUGAUUUUUGUUGCUUUUAGAAAUGUAAUACAUACCACACGAUGUGUUCCAUCUUGUAAUACCUGAGAGGCAAGUUUUUGGAAUAGCUCUGUAGAACCCAGUUUAUUACACAGAAUUAUGGAUUUCAGAGAAUCGAUCUGAUCCUUAGUCUGAUUCUCAGUGGCAUUACAUACCAAUACAAUGGGAUAGGAUGCCCACGGGCCUGCAUUGAAAAGUCUCCAUAAGACUGUUGACUCCUCCAAACUUAUUUAUAGCUUACUGUUGAUUGGAAGCCUUACCUAUAACAUAGUUUACUUGUAUAUAAUAUGCAUUAUAUACUGCAUGCUUACAAUAAUAUCUUUUUCUUUUUCUGGUAUUUCUAGGCUAUGCUGUUUGAGUUUUCUCAAAUCGUUGCAAAUCUCCAAAAAUUUUUCCAAUAUAAGUUUUUAAAAAAUUCUACAUACAGCUCAAAUCUGUGGAGUUUAAGCGUCAACUGCAUAGUGUCCUUGGUUAAGACCACGUUGUGGAAAGGCACAGGCUGACAAGGGGAAUUUCCUCUCCUCUCCAAGAAACCAGACCUGCCAGUGUGGUAUCAAUUAAACAAUUGGGUGUUUUGCUCUCCACUUCUGGAGUUUACCAGUUUGGAGGUCUUAGGUGGGGUAGCAGAUAGAUUUAGAGUCUUGAAGAUAGGGCAGUGUGAAACAGAGUCAGAAAACCUGGAUUCAGCCUCCACUUUGCACUUGAGCUGAUCAAUUAACACACGUUAAAAAAAAAUCGGGACUAAUAAAACUUGUAAUAGUGAUUUCA
This 1916-nucleotide long non-coding RNA is filed under the name Felis catus (domestic cat). Its description in RNAcentral is "lncRNA (ENSFCAG00000050911.1)". Lineage: Eukaryota; Metazoa; Chordata; Mammalia; Carnivora; Felidae. The record is from RNAcentral.